UGGGGAAUAUUGGGCAAUGGGCGCAAGCCUGACCCAGCAACGCCGCGUGAGGGAAGAAGGCCUUCGGGUUGUAAACCUCUGUCCUUGGGGACGAAAAAAAUGACGGUACCCAAGGAGGAAGCUCCGGCUAACAACGUGCCAGCAGCCGCGGUAAUACGUAGGGAGCGAGCGUUGUCCGGAAUUACUGGGCGUAAAGGGUGCGUAGGCGGCAUUGCAAGUCAGAUGUGAAAUCCCCGGGCUUAACUCGGGGGGUGCAUUUGAAACUGCAGUGCUUGAGUGCAGGAGAGGAAAGCGGAAUUCCUAGUGUAGCGGUGAAAUGCGUAGAUAUUAGGAGGAACACCAGUGGCGAAGGCGGCUUUCUGGACUGUAACUGACGCUGAGGCACGAAAGCGUGGGGAGCAAACAG
RNAcentral lists this ribosomal RNA (406 nucleotides) under uncultured bacterium. RNAcentral's name for it is "bacterial SSU rRNA". It matches the Rfam family "Bacterial small subunit ribosomal RNA", at positions 355 to 775 of the family's 1533-position model. The record is from RNAcentral.